UCUGUAAAGGGGAGAGUGCCAGUGAGAGAAUAGCAACCUUUAAUAGCAUGUGUCUAAGCAAGACAAAGGCCAGCUGGCAGCCAAUCAAAGCAGCUUGUGUAGAAAAGUCAGCUAAUGGGCCCUUCAAACUCACUGAGCAUUGAAUCAAAGACAUAAAACAUUUGCCUUCAAUAUUUACAGUCAAACAAAACAGGAUGUAAUACUGGUAGGAUUCUAGGACUUGAGAGAAAAAUAUAUAGAUUAUUUCUGUCACUGGCCAGAGUCUAGCUGAAGUCUUAUUUUGAAAUGUUUCUUAAAUUAGAAGCAGCUGUAGCUUAAUUUUUUUGUUUUGUUUUUAUUCUGGAAGCCUGAAUGAAUAAAUAGUAACUGCAAUAAAUUUUAAACUGCAAAAUUAAUAAAGCAGACUGUCCUGUCCCAUCUUUUCCUCGCAGUUUUAACAAGAACCUAAAGACCUUCAGUUUGCAGAUAAGGGCUCUAUUAUUUUCAUUCCAUUAAGCUAGCUGAGUUUAUUAUUUUGUAAAUUUUAAACAAAAUGAUGUUCAAUUAACCAUUAAAUCUAAACCAAAAUAAUAGUCUAUUCCCUGGCAUCCUUUUCUGCCACCUAUUUUUUUUUAAGAAAUGGGGUCUUGUUAUGUUGUCCAGGCCAGAUUUGAACAAGUCUCAAGCAAUUCUCCCACCUCAGCCUCCUGAGAAGUGGGGACUACCGAGCUCUACCACCCAAUAUUUUUUAUGUUACGUCAGCAAGAAGUAGUUGUGUGGGCCCUCCUGCAUAAGAAAAUCCUUGUUAAAUGAAUGAGUCAAUCACUGCGUACCAGUCCAAAUAGGCAUUGCUCUGUCAGGAUGAAGUGGGAGGAGCAGAGGAAUUUUAUACAAGAACUCAGUAUGAAGGCAUGCUUUCUUGAGUAAGUCAGGUAGCUAGCCAGCAGGCUAGGCUAUGCAGCCUCCCUUUGAUGAAGUCAGGGCAUAAUGAAAAAAGUAAAGCAGGCUUUAUACUUUUCCUGUUUAAUUAGUAUUUACUUCCGUUUCAUUAACUUAGUAUUGUUGACUUCUGCUAGAAUACAUGCUAUCUUUAGAAAGGGAAAUACAAACAAAUAACAGAAUUAAACCAAAUUGAAUCUUUUGUAUCCCUUUAUCUACUCAACAAGUUGAAAAUGGAGCUGAUGGACCACAUUUGACCCACAGAAUGUUUGCUCCACUGUGCCCCCCCACCCCCCGCACAUGUACAGUUUCCUGAUGUUUAAAUUGGUAAUUAACAUAAAGACCAGGGUUUCUGGCUUCUUUUGAAAAACUGGAAGAUCUGGCAAAACCGGGCCCCAGUUCCUACACAGCAAAAAGAAGCUGGAGCUAAGAUCUGUGCUCUAGGUUCAGCACAGUUCCUACCAGGCCUGUUACCUUCCUGGCUCCUUGACUCAUUGGAAUUUGUGUGACCCUGCCCUACUCUUUUCUGGGGGGGCGGGGGUUGUGAGGGGAGGACAGUCUCUGUCACUGAGGCUGGAGUGUAGUGGUGGAUCUCUGCUCACUGCAGCAUCCACCUCCUGGGCUCAAGGGAUCCACGCAUCUCAGCGUCCCAGGUAGCUGGGCUACAGGAAUUUGCCACCAUGCCUGGCUAACUUUUGUUUGUUUGUUUGUUUGUUUUUUGUAGAGAUGGGGAUUUUGCUUCAUUGCCCAGGGUGAUCUUGAACUCAACAGAUUUGCCCACCUCGGCCUCCCAGAGUGCUGGGAUUACAGAUUAUAGGCCUGCCUAUCUAUCAGCAACCCCCAGUAUAGUGUAAGAUUUUCAAGGACAAGAUCUACAGAAACCCAAUACACAGGAAACACUGCUUUGCCGAGCACAGGCCUGACGCAUGUGGGCUGAACUGAAUACAGCACCCACACUGGAACUACGGAAAUGACGUUAGACAAAAAGCAAAUUCAAGCAAUUUUCUUAUUUGAGUUCAAAACGGGUUGUAAAGCAGUGAAGACAACUCGCAACAUCAACAAUGCAUUUGGCAAUGCAUUUGGUGGUUCAAGAAGUUUUGCAAAGGACACGAGAGCCUUGAAGAUGAAGAGCUUAGUGGCUGGCCAUCAGAAGUUGACAAUGGCCAACUGACAGCAAUCAUCGAAGUUGAUCCUCUUGGAACCACACAAGAAGCUGCUGAAGAACUCAACAUCAACCAUUCUACAGUCUUUUAAAGCAAAUUUGAAAGGUGAAAAAGCUUGGUAAGUGGGUGCCUUAUAAGCUGAGAGAAAACGUUUUAAAAAAUCGUUGCUUUCAAGUGUCAUCUUCUCCUCUUCUACACAACAACGAACCAUUUCUCAAUCAGAUUAUGACAUGCAACAAAAAAUGGAUUUUAUAUGAGAAUCAGCAAUGACCAGCUCAGUGGUUGGACCAAGAAGAAGCUCCAAAGCACUUCCCAAAGCCAAACUUGCACCAAAAAAAAAAAGGUCAUGGUCACCAUUUGGUGGUCUGCUGCUGGUCUGAUCCACUACAGCUUUCUGAAUCCCAGCGAAACCAUGACAUCUGAGAAGUAUGCUCAGCAAAUCAAUGAGAUGCACCCCAAACAGCAACGCCUGUAGCUAGCAUUGGUCAAGAGAAAGGGUCCAGUUCUCCACGACAACACCCAACUGCACAUUGCACAACCAACGCUUGAAAAGUUGAACAAAUUGGGCUACGAAGCUUUGCCUCAUCCGCCAUAUUCACCUGACCUCUUGCCAACCGACUACCACUUUUUCAAGCAUCUCGACAACUUUUUGCAGGGAAAAUGCUUCCACAACCAGCAGGAUGCGGAAAAUGCUUUCCAAGAGUUGUUGAAUGUAGAAGCACAGAUUUUUUUCACUACAGGAAUAAACAAACUUAUUUCUCAUUGGC
Long non-coding RNA from Pan troglodytes (chimpanzee), 2848 nucleotides. RefSeq lists it as uncharacterized. The record is from RefSeq and is a predicted model, not a curated record. The transcript has 3 exons. Lineage: Eukaryota; Metazoa; Chordata; Mammalia; Primates; Hominidae.